This is a long non-coding RNA of Oreochromis aureus, 702 nucleotides long. Lineage: Eukaryota; Metazoa; Chordata; Actinopteri; Cichliformes; Cichlidae. The record is from Ensembl.
CUCGCGUCGAGAAUUGACGUGCAGAGUCCUCUCAUUGAAUACUAUGCUGCUCCCUAAACGUUGCUUAUUGACGACAAGAGAUUGCCGCGGAAGAGCCUGUUAUGGAGGAUCAGUAACAGGAGCGUGGGAAGACUCCAGAAUCCACUCUGGCUGGAAUCCGGUGGAUACAGCAGUGUUACAGGUACAGUACGUGAUGUUAAGGGCAGGCGGUCAUCACCGGGGGAAGAAAAGAAGCAGACGUACUUCCAAGAGGGAGCUGCAGUGAGGACACAGCCUGGUCACUGAGGUCAGAGGAGGCGCUGGAAGGUUUCCCUAAUAGUUCCUGGUGAAUCAAAGCAGAACCAUAAAGGUUUCUGGACUGCAUGAUGGCCUUACCCCUGAGCAGUCAUCCUGUUAAAGGAGGAACCAGUUAGAAGCUGUUUUCAAAGUAGCUGAGCAGAUUUCAUCUGAAUUCUGAUCUCUCUGCUGAGCUACACAGGUGCUGAGGUACUUUACUGGGCUGCUGGUCAGACGAGGCUUCUCUGGAGCACUUUGUCCAGCUCGGGUGUUUCAGCACCAAGGACAGCGUGCAGCUCUCUGAGCUUCAGCAGCAGAACUGAAUCCACAGACUUUAGCAGCAGCACAAGAAGUGACACACCCAACUGUUCACAUGCUUUUUAAAUGUUCAUUUAUUAUUGUUUGUGUUACAUUCAUUCAUAACCA